This 93-nucleotide ribosomal RNA is filed under the name Chaubardia heteroclita. Its description in RNAcentral is "5.8S ribosomal RNA". It matches the Rfam family "5.8S ribosomal RNA", at positions 1 to 89 of the family's 154-position model. Rfam says of the family: 5.8S ribosomal RNA (5.8S rRNA) is a component of the large subunit of the eukaryotic ribosome. It is transcribed by RNA polymerase I as part of the 45S precursor that also contains 18S and 28S rRNA. Functionally, it is thought that 5.8S rRNA may be involved in ribosome translocation. The record is from RNAcentral. Lineage: Eukaryota; Viridiplantae; Streptophyta; Magnoliopsida; Asparagales; Orchidaceae.
GACACGACUCUCGGCAAUGGAUAUCUCGGCUCUCGCAUCGAUGAAAACCGCACCGAAAUGCGAUACUGGUGCCAAUUGCAGAAUCCCGCGAAC